This 350-nucleotide ribosomal RNA is filed under the name uncultured bacterium. Its description in RNAcentral is "bacterial SSU rRNA". It matches the Rfam family "Bacterial small subunit ribosomal RNA", at positions 917 to 1269 of the family's 1533-position model. The record is from RNAcentral.
GGGCCCGCACAAGCGGUGGAGCAUGUGGUUUAAUUCGAUGAUACGCGAGGAACCUUACCAGGGCUUAAAUGUAAGUUGCAUUAGCUAGAGAUAGCUAUUUCUUCGGGACCACUUACAAGGUGCUGCAUGGUUGUCGUCAGCUCGUGCCGUGAGGUGUCAGGUUAAGUCCUAUAACGAGCGCAACCCCUGUUGUUAGUUGCCAGCGAGUCAUGUCGGGAACUCUAACAAGACUGCCGGUGCAAACCGUGAGGAAGGUGGGGAUGACGUCAAAUCAUCACGGCCCUUACGUCCUGGCUACACACGUGCUACAAUGGUCGGUACAGAGAGCAGCCACUGCGCGAGCAGGAGCG